Non-coding RNA from Taeniopygia guttata (zebra finch), 566 nucleotides. Lineage: Eukaryota; Metazoa; Chordata; Aves; Passeriformes; Estrildidae. The record is from RefSeq and is a predicted model, not a curated record.
AGAUGGAGAAGGAGGGCAGGCAGCCCCUGCUGGAGGGUGCCCUGCUCCUCCCCUGCCUCUAAACCCCGGUGUCCCUGGGCAGGCAGCAACACCACAUCCACAUGGAUUUUAAUUCCCCCCAGGGAUGGGAACUCCAUCACUGCCCUGGGCAGCUGUGCCAGGGCUGGACAGCCCUUUGGAUGAAGAAAAGUUUCCAAAUAUCCAGAUGUGCCAAAAGAAGGAGAUUUGACAAGCCUGAUUUGGACAAACCUGAAUUAACUGCUGCUUGGUAAUCUAUGAAGCCACCCUCCUUUUUACUGGGACACUUGCUCAGGGCAUAGCCCCACUCUAAGUGCCCAGCCUGAAGUCCUCAUGGAACCAAAGACCUCGAGGAUCAUCGAGUCCAGCCGUGAAUUGUGUUGUGCAAAUGGUGAGCUCAGCCUCUGAAGAACAGUCAGCUGGCAGGAAGGGAUGUGCUUUCCCAUUAAAAAUCUGGCUGGGGAUGUCCCUCCUGCUGUGCCUGCCCCUGUAGCAUGUCCCUGCUCCUCAGCUUUCUGAGAUGAGAUAAAAAUGAAUUUUCUGGAAAA